AUGGACCUCGGAUCAGGUGA
Molecule: ribosomal RNA, 20 nt
Filed under: Peltigera venosa
Lineage: Eukaryota; Fungi; Ascomycota; Lecanoromycetes; Peltigerales; Peltigeraceae
Description: partial 26S ribosomal RNA
Source: RNAcentral